GGACAUGCGCUCUAGACAGGCUUCACCAUCUGAUGAUGUUUCCACCUUCUAUGAAGAUGUGAGAAGCACACCUGACAUUUGCCUUAGACAGGAUUCACCAUCUGGAGAUGUAUCCACCUGUUAUGACGCUUUGAGAAGCACACUGGUCUUCCCUUCUGGAAAUUCAACAGUAUAUGAAACUGUGAAAUUUGUCCACGGCGCCCCACCAGCUGCAGUAACCCAGCUUCAUUAGAAAAGAUCUUUCCACUGACAGUCAGCACUGUAUUUACAUUCACUUCCUUUGCUGAUCCUUUUGCCAGCCAGAAUUUUAUAUUCACUCCAGGCAAUUUUACAGGAUUCGAACCAACAACCUCUACGAGCUCCCAUUGCCUUCUGUUUCAGCUGCUUUGUUUUAUAUAAAUGCAUCAACAUCGGCAUAUUUUGCGGCUGCCGAAUUGCACUUGAAGACAAUUAUGGGAUAAGUGAUACAUUAAACAGAUUUAAAGGGAGAAACGCACGGUGACUGUGAGUUCUUUUGAAAUGGGAACAGGGCUCAUUUUUAAGUCUCACAAAUGCCUUAUUAUGUUUCAAAAUCAGUGUAAUACUUUUUUUUCUUGAAAAAUGGUAAUUACCGGGUUUUUAACCGUUUCUAUAGGGCACUAUAGAUGGCCAUCGGUGUAAUAUAAGCAGGGAUUGAU
Paramormyrops kingsleyae is the source of this 677-nucleotide non-coding RNA. NCBI's taxonomy places the organism in Eukaryota, Metazoa, Chordata, Actinopteri, Osteoglossiformes, Mormyridae. The record is from RefSeq and is a predicted model, not a curated record.